This 77-nucleotide transfer RNA is filed under the name Acidimicrobiia bacterium. Its description in RNAcentral is "tRNA-Arg". It matches the Rfam family "tRNA". From Rfam's summary of the family: Transfer RNA (tRNA) molecules are approximately 80 nucleotides in length. Their secondary structure includes four short double-helical elements and three loops (D, anti-codon, and T loops). Lineage: Bacteria; Bacillati; Actinomycetota; Acidimicrobiia. The record is from RNAcentral.
GCGCUCGUAGCUCAGAUGGAUAGAGCAUCUGGCUUCGAACCAGAGGGCCGCAGGUUCGAGUCCUGCCGAGCGCACCA